RNAcentral lists this ribosomal RNA (192 nucleotides) under Triticum aestivum (bread wheat). Its description in RNAcentral is "partial small subunit ribosomal RNA". Lineage: Eukaryota; Viridiplantae; Streptophyta; Magnoliopsida; Poales; Poaceae. The record is from RNAcentral.
AUGGCAAGGUGUGGAUGGAGUUUAUGUGAUUGUCAACUAACACAACAUGUCUAUGCAUCCAAGUGCCCCGAUGCACGUGAUUGGCUCUUUCAUCUACUGGAAACGACACCCCAUGAGGAGUUCAUCAAGAUACUGCUGAUGCCGUGGGCGAUAUGGACUGCUAAGAGCAAAGCAAUCCACGAAGCAAUUUAG